UGCAUGGUGGUGCAGUUGGUAUCACUGCUGCCUUGCAAGAAGGUCCUGGGUUCGACUCCCAGGCUGGGGGUCU
Non-coding RNA from Crenichthys baileyi (White River springfish), 73 nucleotides. NCBI's taxonomy places the organism in Eukaryota, Metazoa, Chordata, Actinopteri, Cyprinodontiformes, Goodeidae. The record is from the annotation of a GenBank genome assembly.